AACAAGGCGUACCUGCGGACCUGCGGAAGGAUCAUUACAGAGUUGCAAAACUCCCUAAACCAUUGUGAACGUUACCUAAACCGUUGCUUCGGCGGGCGGCCCGGGUCCUUCCCGGCGCCCAUCGGCCCUCGCGGGCGCCCGCCGGAGGUAAACCAAACUAUUGCAUUGUAUGGCCUCUCUGAGUCUUCUGUACUGAAUAAGUCAAAACUUUUAGCAACGGAUCUCAGAUCGGAAGAGCAC
RNAcentral lists this unclassified non-coding RNA (240 nucleotides) under soil metagenome. RNAcentral describes it as "partial contains 5.8S ribosomal RNA, internal transcribed spacer 2, and large subunit ribosomal RNA". The record is from RNAcentral.